AACGAACGCUGGCGGCGUGCCUAACACAUGCCAGUCGAACGAGAAAGGGGCUUCGGCUCCGAGUAAAGUGGCGCACGGGUGAGUAACACGUGGGUAACCUGCCUCUAAGAUUGGGAUAACUCGUCGAAAGAUGAGCUAAUACCGAAUAAGACCACAGUUCCCGCGGGAACAGGGGUCAAAGGUAGCCUCUGCUUGCAAGCUAUCACUUAGAGAUGGGCCUGCGCACCAUUAGCUAGUUGGUAGGGUAACGGCCUACCAAGGCAAAGAUGGUUAGCUGGUCUGAGAGGAUGAUCAGCCACACUGGAACUGAGACACGGUCCAGACUCCUACGGGAGGCAGCAGUGGGGAAUAUUGCGCAAUGGGCGAAAGCUUGACGCAGCAACGCCGCGUGAGUGAUGAAGGCCUUCGGGUCGUAAAGCUCUGUCGGGAGGAACGAAUGCUCCUGAGGUUAACAGUCUCGGGAGGUGACGGUACCUUCAAAGGAAGCACCGGCUAACUCUGUG
RNAcentral lists this ribosomal RNA (503 nucleotides) under uncultured bacterium. Its description in RNAcentral is "partial 16S ribosomal RNA". It matches the Rfam family "Bacterial small subunit ribosomal RNA", at positions 29 to 507 of the family's 1533-position model. The record is from RNAcentral.